UACGUAGGUGGCAAGCGUUGUCCGGAUUUACUGGGUGUAAAGGGCGUGCAGCCGGGCUGACAAGUCAGAUGUGAAAUCCCGCGGCUCAACCGCGGAACUGCAUUUGAAACUGGGGGCCUUGAGUGGGCGAGAAGAAGGCGGAAUGCGUGGUGUAGCGGUGAAAUGCAUAGAUAUCACGCAGAACCCCGAUUGCGAAGGCAGCCUUCCGGCGCCCUACUGACGCUGAGGCACGAAAGUGCGGGGAUCGAACAGG
This 253-nucleotide ribosomal RNA is filed under the name uncultured bacterium. RNAcentral describes it as "partial 16S ribosomal RNA". It matches the Rfam family "Bacterial small subunit ribosomal RNA", at positions 524 to 776 of the family's 1533-position model. The record is from RNAcentral.